CGACCGGCGCACGGGUGCGUAACGCGUAUGCAACCUACCUUUAACAGGGGGAUAACACUGAGAAAUUGGUACUAAUACCCCAUAAUAUCAUAGAAGGCAUCUUUUAUGGUUGAAAAAUUCCGAUGGUUAGAGAUGGGCAUGCGUUGUAUUAGCUAGUUGGUGGGGUAACGGCUCACCAAGGCGACGAUACAUAGGGGGACUGAGAGGUUAACCCCCCACACUGGUACUGAGACACGGACCAG
RNAcentral lists this ribosomal RNA (242 nucleotides) under uncultured bacterium. RNAcentral describes it as "partial 16S ribosomal RNA". It matches the Rfam family "Bacterial small subunit ribosomal RNA", at positions 92 to 334 of the family's 1533-position model. The record is from RNAcentral.